UCGAGUACUCCAACCCCUGUGACAUACCAAUUGUUGCCUCGGCGGAUCAGCCCGCUCCCGGUAAAACGGGACGGCCCGCCAGAGGACCCCUAAACUCUGUUUCUAUAUGUAACUUCUGAGUAAAACCAUAAAUAAAUCAAAACUUUCAACAACGGAUCUCUUGGUUCUGGCAUCGAUGAAGAACGCAGCAAAAUGCGAUAAGUAAUGUGAAUUGCAGAAUUCAGUGAAUCAUCGAAUCUUUGAACGCACAUUGCGCCCGCCAGUAUUCUGGCGGGCAUGCCUGUUCGAGCGUCAUUUCAACCCUCAAGCCCCCGGGUUUGGUGUUGGGGAUCGGCGAGCCCUUGCGGCAAGCCGGCCCCGAAAUCUAGUGGCGGUCUCGCUGCAGCUUCCAUUGCGUAGUAGUAAAACCCUCGCAACUGGUACGCGGCGCGGCCAAGCCGUUAAACCCCCAACUUCUGAAUGUUGACCUCGGAUCAGGUAGGAAUACCCGCUGAACUUAAGCAUAUCAAUAAGCGGAGGAA
Molecule: ribosomal RNA, 521 nt
Filed under: Fusarium proliferatum
Lineage: Eukaryota; Fungi; Ascomycota; Sordariomycetes; Hypocreales; Nectriaceae
Description: eukaryotic LSU rRNA
Rfam family: 5.8S ribosomal RNA (bases 141-294)
Source: RNAcentral